AACGCACAUUGCACCCUCUGGUAUUCCAAGGGGUAUGCCUGUUCGAGCGUCAUUACAACCCUCAAGCACUGCUUGGUUUUGGAUGUUACCAUUGUGGUGCAUCUCAAAAGUAUUGGCAGUAGCAUUCAGCUUCUAGCGUAGUAGAUUUCCUCGCUUUGGAGUUGAAGUGUCUAAUUGCUAGAACCCUUAAUUUGUCAAAGGUUGACCUCGGAUCAGGUAGGGAUACCCGCUGAACUUAA
This 239-nucleotide unclassified non-coding RNA is filed under the name Devriesia sp. RNAcentral's name for it is "partial contains 5.8S ribosomal RNA, internal transcribed spacer 2, and large subunit ribosomal RNA". Lineage: Eukaryota; Fungi; Ascomycota; Dothideomycetes; Mycosphaerellales; Teratosphaeriaceae. The record is from RNAcentral. RNAcentral also lists the same sequence under 1 other name.